AGAGGCUUUCCGGCAGCCGGCACCGGCUGCAUAUCCAUCACCGAUGAAUCCAUCUUUGCACUGACACCGAUAUCCUGGUCCAGCAGGACUUACAAAUCCAUUACAAGUGGAAUGGUCGGAACAAUGGCAAUUCCCUGGAAGCCACCAUCCAAGGUCCAUCACCUGAACAUCCAACGACGUAACACCGGAAGUGAUAGAGUAGUUGGAUGAUAUCGAUGACAAAAGAGACCGGCACUGGCUAAGCUGACUACUUUUGUAAAAGAAACCAUCCUUAGUUAGAUUGAAAAGGCAAUUUAAGCUGCUGUUUUUUGAGCAAUUUACAGACUGGAA
Molecule: unclassified non-coding RNA, 330 nt
Filed under: Hevea brasiliensis (rubber tree)
Lineage: Eukaryota; Viridiplantae; Streptophyta; Magnoliopsida; Malpighiales; Euphorbiaceae
Source: RNAcentral